RNAcentral lists this ribosomal RNA (1377 nucleotides) under uncultured bacterium. RNAcentral's name for it is "bacterial SSU rRNA". It matches the Rfam family "Bacterial small subunit ribosomal RNA", at positions 18 to 1393 of the family's 1533-position model. The record is from RNAcentral.
CCUGGCUCAGGAUGAACGCUAGCGACAGGCUUAACACAUGCAAGUCGAGGGGCAGCGGGGUGUAGCAAUACACCGCCGGCGACCGGCGCACGGGUGAGUAACGCGUAUGCAACUUGCCUAUCAGAGGGGGAUAACCCGGCGAAAGUCGGACUAAUACCGCAUGAAGCAGGGGUCCCGCAUGGGGAUAUUUGCUAAAGAUUCAUCGCUGAUAGAUAGGCAUGCGUUCCAUUAGGCAGUUGGCGGGGUAACGGCCCACCAAACCGACGAUGGAUAGGGGUUCUGAGAGGAAGGUCCCCCACAUUGGUACUGAGACACGGACCAAACUCCUACGGGAGGCAGCAGUGAGGAAUAUUGGUCAAUGGGCGUAAGCCUGAACCAGCCAAGUCGCGUGAGGGAUGAAGGUUCUAUGGAUCGUAAACCUCUUUUAUAAGGGAAUAAAGUGCGGGACGUGUCCCGUUUUGUAUGUACCUUAUGAAUAAGGAUCGGCUAACUCCGUGCCAGCAGCCGCGGUAAUACGGAGGAUCCGAGCGUUAUCCGGAUUUAUUGGGUUUAAAGGGUGCGUAGGCGGCCUUUUAAGUCAGCGGUGAAAGUCUGUGGCUCAACCAUAGAAUUGCCGUUGAAACUGGGGGGCUUGAGUAUGUUUGAGGCAGGCGGAAUGCGUGGUGUAGCGGUGAAAUGCUUAGAUAUCACGCAGAACCCCGAUUGCGAAGGCAGCCUGCCAAGCCAUGACUGACGCUGAUGCACGAAAGCGUGGGAUCAAACAGGAUUAGAUACCCUGGUAGUCCACGCAGUAAACGAUGAUCACUAGCUGUUUGCGAUACAUUGUAAGCGGCACAGCGAAAGCGUUAAGUGAUCCACCUGGGGAGUACGCCGGCAACGGUGAAACUCAAAGGAAUUGACGGGGGCCCGCACAAGCGGAGGAACAUGUGGUUUAAUUCGAUGAUACGCGAGGAACCUUACCCGGGUUUGAACGCAUCGGACCGAGGUGGAAACACCUUUUCUAGCAAUAGCCGUUUGCGAGGUGCUGCAUGGUUGUCGUCAGCUCGUGCCGUGAGGUGUCGGCUUAAGUGCCAUAACGAGCGCAACCCUUGCCACUAGUUACUAACAGGUAAAGCUGAGGACUCUGGUGGGACUGCCAGCGUAAGCUGCGAGGAAGGCGGGGAUGACGUCAAAUCAGCACGGCCCUUACAUCCGGGGCGACACACGUGUUACAAUGGCGUGGACAAAGGGAAGCCACCUGGCGACAGGGAGCGAAUCCCCAAACCACGUCUCAGUUCGGAUCGGAGUCUGCAACCCGACUCCGUGAAGCUGGAUUCGCUAGUAAUCGCGCAUCAGCCAUGGCGCGGUGAAUACGUUCCCGGGCCUUGCACACACCGC